RNAcentral lists this long non-coding RNA (424 nucleotides) under Gallus gallus (chicken). RNAcentral's name for it is "long non-coding RNA NONGGAT005039". Lineage: Eukaryota; Metazoa; Chordata; Aves; Galliformes; Phasianidae. The record is from RNAcentral.
CGGGAGUUCAGGGAGCGCUGCGGACUGCAGAGCCAGGGGACGUGUCAGCACUUCUGGUUGAGGACACAACUCUGACACCCCAAGGCCUUGUGGACAGCCUCACACCUUAAAGUCAGAGAGGGUGAUGUUGAGACCAAGAUGAAACCAUGCAGAAGAUCCAUCAGGUGCCUUGCGGGGGGGUAAGCCUCAAACAGCAAAUGAAGUCCAGGGAGGCUGUCCGAUGCAGGCCAGACACCAUUGCUGUCUUCUCUUCUGGAACCCAAACUCAGAGCCACAUCCAAACUGCAAUGAAGCAAGCGUUUUGGUUUGUGUGAUUUACAACCUCAACCAAAAACUGAUAUUGGUGAAUAAUCCAGGACGGGGAAAAGGGCUGACGUGUCAGGAGGAGGUAAGAAAAUAGACAUGUAUUUCAUGUAUGCUCUUG